CAUAGUACGACUCAUGUAUUUGUGGGGAGCGACAAAGUGAAAGACAAACAAGUGCCUCCCCACAAGGUCACUAUGAAGUCCUGAUGUGAAAAAUAAUAUAUUUCACUCUACAAAUUGAGGAUGUGCCAACUAACACCUAACAUGACAGACUGAGAACUGCCUACAUCCUUGUGAACUCAGACAACAGUGGUGUACAGGAUAACUUAUCUCUGAAUGAGUUGCCCAAAUCUCCAAGACACUCACAAAAGAAAGGUAUCCAAUUUGGCCGAGUUGUGAAAUUUCCCAAAAUUUACAAGUAACUGACUUACAUACAAUGAGUCUUGUAACUCAGGUACUUAACUAUUUGUUCCUUGAUGUGCUGGAAUUCUUCAGGAGAACAGGAUUUGGAUGUAUAAUCCAUUCAGCUUUGAUAAGAGAAUUGAGUAAAUACUCCUUGGGCGGUAUGCAGCAGUUGGGAGUCGGCCGCCGAAAUCUUUAUGCCACAACAAAUUUGCCUCAGAGUAGGUGAUGUUACGAUUCCUCAGUGAGGCCAUCAUCCAGCAGUAGAAUUAUGAAGACUUAUGAAAAAUAUCUGCAGAGCAUUUUAGUGUUAAGGAUACUUUCACAUUGAAAACGUAUCUAAAUAUGGUCAGGUAGUAAAUGUUUAUUGUCAUAUAAACCACUUGAAGGUCAUAUUUUCAAAAGUUUGGAAGAAUAGUUUAUAUAUAAUAUACUUUAAUAUGCAUCAAGACUCAUUUUCCAGCGAGAACCCUCUCAUAUGGCGACCCAGAAGUAAAAUAUGAAUCUUCUGUGAAGAAUGUAGAUUUGAAAACUGAGAAAGAAGAAGCCACUUAAAAAGAAGAGUAAAACAUUAUUUUCAUCUCAGCUAUAAUUCUGCUACAAGAUUUGCUGUAGAACAAUUUAAUUCAAACUUGGUUACUCAAGGCUGAAGGUUAUUUCUUUAUAUUUAUGCACACAAUGUGAAAGUGAAUUAAUGAGUGCAAAUAAUGCCAUUACAUUUGUCAGUGUUUUAGUACAGUGAGCAAGAUGACCAGCUGUAAUAAACAAAAGAAAUUAAAGACUUUGUGAUAAAUUUGAAUCCAAAAUACAACCGAAUAUUGGACUUUACAUCUAAUCUGGAAUGAAUUAACAGAUUAAUCGAGAUUAACACUUGUAAACUGUAAUAUAUAUAUAUAUA
This is a long non-coding RNA of Schistocerca gregaria, 1177 nucleotides long. RefSeq lists it as uncharacterized. NCBI's taxonomy places the organism in Eukaryota, Metazoa, Arthropoda, Insecta, Orthoptera, Acrididae. The transcript is spliced from 3 exons. The record is from RefSeq and is a predicted model, not a curated record.